AGGCUCGACGAUGAUGAUCUUGUGUCAUACAUCCUCUCCGGCCUCGACUUCGACUACGACCCUGUGGUUUUGGCGGUUGCAGCCCGCGUGGAACCCAUCUCGGUUGGGGAACUGAUCGCCCAACUCACAAGCUUUGAGC
This is a small nucleolar RNA of Leersia perrieri, 139 nucleotides long. It matches the Rfam family "Small nucleolar RNA Z247". Rfam says of the family: Z247 is a member of the C/D class of snoRNA which contain the C (UGAUGA) and D (CUGA) box motifs. Most of the members of the box C/D family function in directing site-specific 2'-O-methylation of substrate RNAs. The record is from Rfam. NCBI's taxonomy places the organism in Eukaryota, Viridiplantae, Streptophyta, Magnoliopsida, Poales, Poaceae.